UACGUAGGGCGCAAGCGUUGUCCGGAAUUAUUGGGCGUAAAGAGCUCGUAGGCGGCCUGUUACGUCUGCUGUGAAAUCCCGGGGCUUAACCCCGGGUCGGCAGUGGAUACGGGCAGGCUAGAGGUAGGUAGGGGAGAAUGGAAUUCCCGGUGUAGCGGUGAAAUGCGCAGAUAUCGGGAGGAACACCGGUGGCGAAGGCGGUUCUCUGGGCCUUACCUGACGCUGAGGAGCGAAAGCGUGGGGAGCGAACAGG
This 253-nucleotide ribosomal RNA is filed under the name uncultured bacterium. RNAcentral's name for it is "partial 16S ribosomal RNA". It matches the Rfam family "Bacterial small subunit ribosomal RNA", at positions 524 to 776 of the family's 1533-position model. The record is from RNAcentral.